Molecule: ribosomal RNA, 750 nt
Filed under: uncultured bacterium
Lineage: Bacteria
Description: bacterial SSU rRNA
Rfam family: Bacterial small subunit ribosomal RNA
Source: RNAcentral
GGGGGGCUAUACUGCCAGUUCGACAGGGGGCUACAUUUUCAGAAGUUUUCGGAUGGACGAAGAGAUAAGCUUAGUGGGCGGACGGGUGAGUAACACGUGAGCAACCCGCCUUUCAUAGGGGGAUAACAGUCGGAAACGACCGCUAAUACCGCAUAACGCUUGCGAUGGGGCAUCCCGAUGCAGCCAAAGGAGCAAUCCGCUGGAAGAUGGGCUCGCGGCCGAUUAGCUAGUUGGUGGGGCAACGGCCCACCAAGGCGACGAUCGGUAGCCGGACUGAGAGGUUGAUCGGCCACAUUGGGACUGAGACACGGCCCAGACUCCUACGGGAGGCAGCAGUGGGGGAUAUUGCACAAUGGAGGAAACUCUGAUGCAGCGACGCCGCGUGAGGGAAGACGGUCUUCGGAUUGUAAACCUCUGUCUUUGGGGAAGAAAAUGACGGUACCCAAAGAGGAAGCUCCGGCUAACUACGUGCCAGCAGCCGCGGUAAUACGUAGGGAGCGAGCGUUGUCCGGAAUUACUGGGUGUAAAGGGAGCGUAGGCGGGCGAGAAAGUUGAAUGUUAAAUCUACCGGCUUAACUGGUAGCUGCGUUCAAAACUUCUUGUCUUGAGUGAAGUAGAGGCAGGCGGAAUUCCUAGUGUAGCGGUGAAAUGCGUAGAUAUUANGAGGAACACCAGUGGCGAAGGCGGCCUGCUGGGCUUUAACUGACGCUGAGGCUCGAAAGCGUGGGGAGCAAACAGGAUUAGAUACCC